CCUACGGGAGGCAGCAGUGGGGAAUUUUGGACAAUGGGCGCAAGCCUGAUCCAGCAAUGCCGCGUGAGUGAAGAAGGCCUUCGGGUUGUAAAGCUCUUUUGUCAGGGAAGAAACGGUGGGGGCUAAUAUCUCCUACUAAUGACGGUACCUGAAGAAUAAGCACCGGCUAACUACGUGCCAGCAGCCGCGGUAAUACGUAGGGUGCAAGCGUUAAUCGGAAUUACUGGGCGUAAAGCGUGCGCAGGCGGUUUUGUAAGUCUGUCGUGAAAGCCCCGGGCUCAACCUGGGAAUUGCGAUGGAGACUGCAAGGCUUGAAUCUGGCAGAGGGGGGUAGAAUUCCACGUGUAGCAGUGAAAUGCGUAGAGAUGUGGAGGAACACCGAUGGCGAAGGCAGCCCCCUGGGUCAAGAUUGACGCUCAUGCACGAAAGCGUGGGGAGCAAACAGGAUUAGAUACCCUGGUAGUCCACGCCCUAAACGAUGUCUACUAGUUGUCGGGUUUUAAUUAACUUGGUAACGCAGCUAACGCGUGAAGUAGACCGCCUGGGGAGGUACGGUCGCAGAUAAACUACGAAGAAGUAGAGCGUGAGACGUGCCGAGGACGACGACGAGGGAGAGG
This 617-nucleotide ribosomal RNA is filed under the name uncultured bacterium. RNAcentral's name for it is "bacterial SSU rRNA". It matches the Rfam family "Bacterial small subunit ribosomal RNA", at positions 338 to 1533 of the family's 1533-position model. The record is from RNAcentral.